Molecule: long non-coding RNA, 535 nt
Organism: Saccostrea cuccullata (small rock oyster)
Lineage: Eukaryota; Metazoa; Mollusca; Bivalvia; Ostreida; Ostreidae
Exons: 3
Source: RefSeq, a predicted model, not a curated record
UGGAAAAGCAGCUUGUUUCAUAAUUUUUGGUGUUUUUGAAUCUUUAUACCCUGGAAGCAGUCAAAAUAUAUGUGAACAACCAUCCAAACCAGACGGUGUACCAAUAUGUUGCACAUUUUACUUCUAUAACGGAACUGAUUGUAUUGAAUGUCCACUAGGAUACUACGGUGUGGAAUGCAAUAUCCCCUGCGUUUACCCAUCAUACGGUCCAAGAUGUAAUCCUAUUUGUAACUGUAGUGAAAAUGAUUGUGAUAAUGUACACGGAUGUUUGUUAACGAGUGAGUUUCUUUUUUCUGAACUUCAAAAUGCUUUGCUAUUACCUUCCAUCUUUCCCCUGCACAAAACAAAUUUAAGUCUAAUUCAAACUUUCUAAACAAAAAAAAUAUUUACCAAGUAAGCCAAAAUGUUUUACCAUUGGUGCAAUCACAAGCACAACAGAGAAAGCGGUGAGAGUUGUGACCAAUUAACUCAACUUUCAUAUUAUGAACGCAAAGCCAUGACGAAUAGACGAAAAAAAUGACAAAAUUUAAGAUUU